Molecule: ribosomal RNA, 467 nt
Filed under: uncultured bacterium
Lineage: Bacteria
Description: partial 16S ribosomal RNA
Rfam family: Bacterial small subunit ribosomal RNA
Source: RNAcentral
GACGAACGCUGGCGGCGUGCUUAACACAUGCAAGUCGAACGGAAAGGCCCUGCUUUUGUGGGGUGCUCGAGUGGCGAACGGGUGAGUAACACGUGAGUAACCUGCCCUUGACUUUGGGAUAACUUCAGGAAACUGGGGCUAAUACCGGAUAGGAGCUCCUGCUGCAUGGUGGGGGUUGGAAAGUUUCGGCGGUUGGGGAUGGACUCGCGGCUUAUCAGCUUGUUGGUGGGGUAGUGGCUUACCAAGGCUUUGACGGGUAGCCGGCCUGAGAGGGUGACCGGCCACAGUGGGACUGAGAUACGGCCCAGACUCCUACGGGAGGCAGGAGUGGGGAAUAUUGCACAAUGGGCGGAAGGCGGAUGCAGGAACGCCGGGUGCGGGAUGACGGCCUUCGGGGUGGAAACCGCUUUCGCCUGUGACGAAGCGUGAGGGACGGUAAUGGGUAAAGAAGCACCGGCUAACUACGU